RNAcentral lists this long non-coding RNA (335 nucleotides) under Nicotiana benthamiana. RNAcentral's name for it is "long non-coding RNA (NBEN_LNC023611)". The record is from RNAcentral. Lineage: Eukaryota; Viridiplantae; Streptophyta; Magnoliopsida; Solanales; Solanaceae.
CGCAAUAAGGAAGAGAAGUCAGUAGCAAUAAUAGAACUCAGCAACAGUUUAGAAGGAGUUUCAAGACCCAAGGAUUGUUACAAAGCAAAGCAAAACUAGUAAUUCAGUCAACAUAGCUUGAAGAAACCCAAAUAAACUUGAAAUCAAACUCAGGAGCACUGGGAACUCAAAUUAACACUAAUAUUGAAGUCAACUCUAGAAAGAGUUCAAUAUAACAAUAUUUGUGGAUUUAGAUGCUGGAAAUUUUCUGGGGAAUUUUUCAAAUUCCAAACUUGCAUAUUUUUCUAGAUUUUUAACCUCUCAAAAACUUUUGCAGUAGCACCCUUGUUUUCGGG